UAUGGUCAUAUCACAUUGAAACACAGGUUACAGUACAAUCACCAAAGUUAAGCAAUUUCAUGCCUGGUUAGUACCUAGAUGGGUGACUGCUUGGGAAUAAUAGGUACUGUAAG
Acanthosepion pharaonis is the source of this 113-nucleotide non-coding RNA. NCBI's taxonomy places the organism in Eukaryota, Metazoa, Mollusca, Cephalopoda, Sepiida, Sepiidae. The record is from the annotation of a GenBank genome assembly.